GACGUAGGGGGCCAGCGUUGUUCGGAAUUACUGGGUGUAAAGGGUUCGUAGGCGGUGUGGCAAGUCGGGAGUGAAAUCUCUGGGCUCAACCCAGAGUCUGCUUCCGAAACUGCUGUGCUUGAGUGUGGGAGAGGCGCGUGGAAUUUGCAGGUGUAGCGGUGAAAUGCGUAGAUAUCUGGAGGAACACCGGUGGCGAAGGCGGCAUCCUGGACCGGUAUUUGACGCUGAGGCGCGAAAGCUAGGGAGCGAACGA
This 253-nucleotide ribosomal RNA is filed under the name uncultured bacterium. Its description in RNAcentral is "partial 16S ribosomal RNA". It matches the Rfam family "Bacterial small subunit ribosomal RNA", at positions 524 to 775 of the family's 1533-position model. The record is from RNAcentral.